RNAcentral lists this transfer RNA (71 nucleotides) under Loxodonta africana (African savanna elephant). It matches the Rfam family "tRNA". From Rfam's summary of the family: Transfer RNA (tRNA) molecules are approximately 80 nucleotides in length. Their secondary structure includes four short double-helical elements and three loops (D, anti-codon, and T loops). The record is from Rfam by way of RNAcentral. Lineage: Eukaryota; Metazoa; Chordata; Mammalia; Proboscidea; Elephantidae.
AGUUAAUGGAGCAAUGGUUAAGUGCUUGGCUGAUAACCAAAAGGUUGGUGGUUCAAACCCACCAGUGACUC